GUCGUGAUAGGUCCCAAGUGU
RNAcentral lists this transfer RNA (21 nucleotides) under Drimia uniflora. RNAcentral's name for it is "partial transfer RNA-Phe". Lineage: Eukaryota; Viridiplantae; Streptophyta; Magnoliopsida; Asparagales; Asparagaceae. The record is from RNAcentral.